Long non-coding RNA from Coffea eugenioides, 179 nucleotides. RefSeq lists it as uncharacterized. The transcript is spliced from 3 exons. NCBI's taxonomy places the organism in Eukaryota, Viridiplantae, Streptophyta, Magnoliopsida, Gentianales, Rubiaceae. The record is from RefSeq and is a predicted model, not a curated record.
GUUUUCUUGGAGGAAUUUCGGUCAAGAUUUCUGCCCUAAAGCUGUCCAACUAAGUUCUUGAGGAUCUCAAGAGGACUUCGAGGGAACUCCCGGCGAAGCGUCUUAGAGCUAAUUUCUCAAACUUUGACUUUUGAUACUUGGUUUGGAAGUGGAAGUUCUAAGGCUUAAUUAGUGACCCC